GGCAGAAUGCAUCUCGCCUGACUCCAGCCAGCUGCAGGUGUCUGGAAGAGGGUUGAAGAUGGUCAGAUGCUAAGGGCAGAGCCCUUCUUCUUCUCUCCACCCCCAAGCCACAAGUGCCAGGGUAAGAAAGCUGAGAUUCAGAAGGGUUCUGCACAAGAGAGCCAAUUUUUGGAUGCUGCCACACAGAGAGAGACGACAGCCAGUCAGUCUUGAAGAGCAGCAGCCAACCAACAGAGAGAUGGCCACUUCCCCAUGGCCUCCCGGUCCCUGUCCACAGCCCCGCCGCAGACAGGAGCAGGGGGGAUGUGACAAGGGACAGACCGCCUUCCGCCACCCUCCACUCAGGCCACCAGGGCCAUGGCCACAUCUAGCUUCCCUGGGAGUGGAGGCCGAGAGCUUUGAAGGAGAGCUUGACCUGGACAUUUUUAAGUACCAGCCCGUGUAAUCCUCACAGCAGCUGCGAGAAUAAGAGCUGCACCUGCCAGAGCACACCCGGUUAGAAAGAGGUGGUGCUGGGAUCUGCACCCGCUGGCCAUCUCUGGAGACCACCAUGAGACAGGGCCCCUGGUGACCGCCCGGGGAAGGGGCAGGUGCAGCGCCAUGGAAGGUCGGAGGAGGGCAGAGGCAAACAAGGCCAUGGAAAUGGACAAAAGGAGCCGCCCCGCCAUUAUGCACCACGUUCUGCACAGCUUUUCUCGCCACAGCCCGAGGAGCCCGAGGAGACGCCAGGCAAGGGGCCAGAGGCCUCUGCUUGCUGCCCAGGCCUCAAGCCACAAGAGAAAGCAACAUUCACCUUUAAUUGCAUCACAGACCAAACGUUAACCCACUGAAGACCCGCUACCCCGUUAACUGGCUAGAAUGGGGGUGUUCCUGCGGCUCCACUGAACAGAAACAGAUCCUGAGACCUUAAGUAAAUACUAUGGUAGGUGGUACACCAUCUGCAGUUUGCUGAACCCGCAGAUGUGGAACCGCGGACAUGGAAGAAUCACAUACACAGAGGGCCGACACUAAGUUGUAUGUGUAUUUUUGACUGCUCGGAGGGUCGACGCCCCUAACCUCCGUGUUGUUCAAGGGUCAAGUGUACUGCUUUCAUGUUUUAUAUAUUGAGUUUAUUCAUCUGACAAAUGAGGGAGCUAAGUUUAGAGAGUAAUUUGCACAAAGCACAGGGCUCAGCUACUAGAGAAAGCAACACCCUGCCACUGCCGGGCCAGUGCCCUCCCGAUCCUCCUGGCCACCCUGGGGUAUUCCCCUCCUCCCCGAUUUACAGCCGGGCAGACAGAGGUCCUGAGAGGACUCGGGGCAGCUGGACUGAGAACCAGCCCCUGAGCAUGUGUUCUUACCACCUCCAGCCUCAGCAGAGGUAGCUUCUGGUAAAAGGUGUGGGUAGUUUUUAUCAGUGUACUUGGUAGCCAGGGCUGUCCUGAUAGAGGUGACAGGUUCUGUGCAGGGAAACUUGAGCACUUAGGUGACUCAGAAAGCACCAUGGGUGCUUGGUCUCAUGGCCACAGGUGGGCCCCCCGGCAGGGACCUUGUGACCCAAUCAUAGGCCACAGUGGGUGGAAAACUGAAUCUUUCCCCAGCCCCACCAGACUGUAAACCAGAGUAAGGGGUGCCGUGAACAUCUGCGGGAGAUAGGGGUGCACCUGUCGAUUUAUCUGGGGACGGGAGCCGGCUUGGCCAGACAGUGACUUGAGGACCACCGCCACAAUGGCGAGAGGCAGUGUGGUCUACACCGCAGAACUCAAAGGAGCCAACCAUGGACCAGGUGUUACGAAAAUGCAGCUGAAAGCACACAUUCAGGAUCCCACCUUCUGUGGCCCCUGGGAGAGGGUGCCACUAGAGGGAUGUGAAAGAGAUGCCUUGUUUCUCUUGCCAACUUUCUUUUGGGAUGUGUCCCUUAAAGCACUGCCUGUCAUACUUUGCUAACGAAAGAUAAUGGACAGCCAGACUUCAAUUAUCCACAAGUGGAUUAUCCAUUUGGGGGAUUAGCUAAGCAAAAUUAAAGCUGCAGACCAGGCUGAGUUCUCCCACCCUGUCCUCCAUUGAUUAUCUCUCAAGGAAUGAAAGCAAACUUUAGCCUGAGCAAACAUAAUUAGGAAUGUAAAUCUGCUGCUGGGAAAACAAAACAAAACGAAACACAAAUGCAACAAAAACUAUCACUGUGUUACAAAGCCAAGCUGAAAUGGUGGUUGGCUUCUCUGUGCCAGGAUUGACCCUUUGUGGCUGGAGUACCCAAGGCUUUCUGAACUGUGAAAGUGCCCAAGUCCGAGUCUAGGCCUGCCAGAAGUUCAGACAACACCAAACAUAAAAGGCCUGGUCACUUAACCCAGGAGAGAAAGGAGAGAAAGGCUGAGGAGAGAGAUGGAUCUCAAAGAAGGGGGUGCCCGGAACCUCCAUGCUGGGGCCACUCAAGAGAAAAACACUUCCUGUCCUGGAGGCAGGGAGAAGGCAGAGGGACCCUGACAGGAUCAGCACCCCAAUCGAUCGCCGGUGGUGCUGGGAACGGCCGCCUCGCCCCCAGCCCUGCGCACAGGCAGCCUGCUAUUGCUGGAGGCGCACCUGCCAGGUCCUGGCCCAGCCCCCAGAGAGGUUCAUCACCACUCAACACUGAGCCCCAGCCAGGCUCCCUUCCCUCCCUGCCAGUUUCUCCCCGUCCCAGACUUCCGAAUGCUUUUCUUCCCAAGGGUUGAACAGCUCAGGAAUGGGGCCUCAGUGGUACCAGGGGCACCGGUGCACACCUACUCUUGGUGGCCUUUGAGCCUGGCAGCCUCAGGGGGUAUCUUAAGUAGUCUUUUCCAUAGCCUUGGAAAAGUCUGAGGGCAAUGCAUGUGGGCUUAGCACCAUGGGCCUUGCUGUCAUACCCUUGCUGUCACACCCUUCUUCUCAAGGGUGUCAGCUCCCUUAUUCCCAUUUCAAUUCCUAAUGAGUCAUCCCUCCAGCCCAAACCUCCCAACCAGCCCCCAAGAAGUGGGGCCACUGGGAGCAAUGGGAGAGGUCUGAGCUGUUCUAGCCUCUCGGCUUCAGGCUGAACUCCAUCUGGGGUCAGUGUCCCAGCCCACAGCACUCACAGAUCGAGCAGCAUUGGGACAUCUGGGCCAUUUAAGCACACUGAGGCCAAACCCCAAGGAGACUUGCGUGUCACUGCCAAGCCUGAGCCCCCAUGCGCCCACGUUCGGAGGGCCUUUCCCCUCAAGCUGUGGCACCCGUCUCUGUAACUGGCCCCUACUGUCUCCUCUGUUGCAUCAGGAGGGACCGAGAGGUAUGGCCCAUGCCCAACUCUGCCAGGGGCUAAAGGAACCAACUCCCAGAGAGCUGUCUCUUCACCUCUGAUACUUUCAGCAGACACACCAUGCAAAACAGAUGCCCCGGCUGUUUAACAAAGCCCAGGCACACCUGGCCAGCCAGCUCAGAGCCUGAGAGGCAGCACGUCUUCACCUGCACCUGCCAGGUCACUGUUAGGGGAGUUCUGGCUGUGGGGCUGGAGGCAGGGCCAGCAGGCUUGUGAGAGUGUGUGUCGGAGGGGCAGGGCAGGAGCAGGCUCAUACACCAAGGGACAGUGAUGUCAGUGUUAUGACACAGACCAAGGACAAAACACACAAAGCCUCAAACGUUAGAAUGAAAACUUUUAUCAUCACUCCUAUUAUCCCCGCAGAGCCCGCGGGGACUGAAGGGCACACCACUGGGAUCCGACGGAGGUCUACAUCUGCUUUAUCAGCACCCAAAGCCAUAUAUUGGGAUGACCCAAUGUAAAGCUACUGGUUAAUCUAGUUCCUGAGCAGACCUGCUAAUAAACCUCAA
Lagenorhynchus albirostris (white-beaked dolphin) is the source of this 3798-nucleotide long non-coding RNA. RefSeq lists it as uncharacterized. NCBI's taxonomy places the organism in Eukaryota, Metazoa, Chordata, Mammalia, Artiodactyla, Delphinidae. The record is from RefSeq and is a predicted model, not a curated record. The transcript has 6 exons.